AUUGAACGCUGGCGGCAUGCCUACACAUGCAAGUCGAACGGCAGCACGGGAGCAAUCCUGGUGGCGAGUGGCGAACGGGUGAGUAAUAUAUCGGAACGUGCCCGGUCGUGGGGGAUAACGUAGCGAAAGCUACGCUAAUACCGCAUACGAUCUACGGAUGAAAGCGGGGGAUCGCAAGACCUCGCGCGAUUGGAGCGGCCGAUAUCAGAUUAGGUAGUUGGUGAGGUAAAGGCUCACCAAGCCGACGAUCUGUAGCUGGUCUGAGAGGACGACCAGCCACACUGGGACUGAGACACGGCCCAGACUCCUACGGGAGGCAGCAGUGGGGAAUUUUGGACAAUGGGCGCAAGCCUGAUCCAGCAAUGCCGCGUGCAGGAUGAAGGCCUUCGGGUUGUAAACUGCUUUUGUACGGAACGAAACGGUGAGCUCUAAUACAGUUUGCUAAUGACGGUACCGUAAGAAUAAGCACCGGCUAACUACGUG
This 483-nucleotide ribosomal RNA is filed under the name uncultured bacterium. RNAcentral describes it as "bacterial SSU rRNA". It matches the Rfam family "Bacterial small subunit ribosomal RNA", at positions 30 to 507 of the family's 1533-position model. The record is from RNAcentral.